This is an RNA transcript of Cornus florida, 3562 nucleotides long. RefSeq lists it as uncharacterized. NCBI's taxonomy places the organism in Eukaryota, Viridiplantae, Streptophyta, Magnoliopsida, Cornales, Cornaceae. The transcript has 7 exons. The record is from RefSeq and is a predicted model, not a curated record.
AGCCCUAGAAUAGCUUUGUCUAAAACAACAAUUCAUCCGGUGUGCUCAGUGUGAUGAGGCAGAGCCUCCGGUGGCGGUCUGAUGAAGGACUGGGGAAGAUCCCACUCUAGCAUGAGCCUCCUCGCAGUGGGUAUCAAUUGCAUGGUACAUAUUAAUGUUUCCACUUAUUGUCAUGCAUAUUCAUAAAAGGCCAGAGAAAUCAUUGAAGAGAGCUUCUUGGAGAGAGAAAGCUUAGAGGGAGAAUGUUUGGUAGAGAGAGAGAGGUUCCAGUGUGUCUCUAAUGGUGAACUGUUGACCCAUAUGAGCUUCUCAAAGAGAUUCGGGUAACCCUUUCAUUAGUGCUCGGAUGGAGGCUUCUUGCUCUAGAAUGUCAUCCCUGUUCGCUUUCGCAGCCCUUAACUCUUCUUCAAUAGCAAUUUUUCAUUCAAUCCCUUCUUUUUCUUAUUCUUUUCUAUUUUCAGCAAUUGCUUGCUGAGGGUGCAGAUUUGUUCCUCCAGAAAUCCAAGAUUCUUUCUCUUCGACUGAUACCUUUGCAUAGGUUUUAUCAAACAGGCAACAGAGCCUUCCUCCAAGGUGGAAUCGUAGUCUCCAAUUCUCAAAACCCUCGGAUCUUGAUCCUAGACCCUAAAUUUCGGCCACUCUCUGAACCCUAACCCUAAAUUUCAGCCACUCUCUGAACCCUAACCCUAAAUUUCAGCCCUUUGAAAUCCUUUCGCUAACUAUGGAGAGAUUUCCGGAUUCGGCUAACCUAUAUGCCCAUAGCAGGGCAUUUGAAGAACUACAAACAUGAGAAUUUGAAGCUAGAGAAGCAGAAAGAGAACAUUCUGAACUUGAUGGAGUCCGUCAAUGGACAAGUGAGAGUGAAUACAACGAAUCAUAUUGAUGCUCUAGCUUCUGUGGGAGAGUGGACAGGAAGAGAUGUGUAAGCUGUAAUCUCUUCGGUGGUGGAUAAGAAAUUGCAAGAAAUGCUCAUCAAUGCUGCUAAGAAAGCCCGAAUUUCAUGAGUUUACCAUCCAAAGAUGAUACAUUACCGGGAUGAUGAUUCGAGGAGGAAGGGCUCUUGCCUAUUUGAUAGAACCUCUGCAGAGGUAUCAGUCCAAGAGAAAGAAUCUUGGAUGUCUGGAGGAACAAAUCUGCACCCUCAGCAAACAAUUGCUGAAAAUAGAAAAGAAGAUGAAAAAGAAGGGAUUGAAUGAAAAAUUUGCUAUUGAAGAAGAGUGAAGGGCUGCGAAAGCGAACAGGGAUGACAUUCUUGCUCUACAAGCCUCCAUCCAAUCACUAAUGGAAGGGUUACCGAAUCUGUGGUGGUUGAUUCGGAAGAAGUCGAUGUUGAAGUAGUCAAGAUAUGGGUGGGAAAGCCAAUAGAAAUUUUGAUUCCCAUAACCCAUGGCGACUCUCUGCAGGACACUCUGAUCAAUGCAGCUAAAAGAGCAAAAACCUCUUAGAUCUUCUAUGAUAGGAUUGCUAAAGAGCGACUUUCACAAGUGCGACCCCGGAAUCUCACGAUCCACUACUGAUUUCUUUCUGGUACUUUACAAUUUUCCUUCCCAAACUAAGUGAUCUCAUGCAAUUGGAAUUGAUAGUGGGGGGCAUCUGAUACAUGGAGCUCUCCUUCCCUACAUUGCUCAGCUAGAGGCAUCUCAUUUUUUUUUGUAUAGAUUUUCACUUCAAUUGUUAAUUAAUUUAUAAUCUGUGAAUUUGUGAAGAUAAAUGGCAAAAGCUGCACAGCUGACCUCUAAUUUCAUACUACAGAAGUGUAACACUAGCAGUAUUUAUUUGGAGGAUCGGAUUAGUCAAUUGCAAGAUGACAUUCUUGUUAUCAUUUUGUCUCUGUUGACAAUGCGAGAAGCGGCAAGAACUAGUGUUCUCUCAAGUAGAUGGAAAAAUCUGUGGAUCAUGACUGGUAGUUUGGACUUUGAUGCUUCGAAGGCGUUGUGGGAAGUUAAAAAUAGAGUGGAUGAGAAUUUCCUGAAAGAUGAAAGGGCUAAGUAUGUAAGCUGGGUAAAUCGAGUCUUGAACUCACAUAAGGGCACAACUAUAGAAAAAUUCAGAGCUUCUUUUGAUUUGGAUAAAUUUUAUGGGAUUUAUAUUGAUUCUUGGAUCAACUUCGCUAUAAAAAAGAGAGUUCAAAGGCUUGAGCUGAACUUAAAACGACUUUAUUAUUCUAGAAGGAGCGGGCGUUACUCUUUUCCAAAACAUUCCCAUGUUUUAUCCAGCCUCAAAAAUCUAACUUCGCUUCGUUUGAAUUGCUUAGAUGUGAGUGGGGAAGCUCUUGAAUACUUAUUAUCCAACUGCUUGUUUCUUGAAGAAUUGCAUGUUCAAGACUCUGAACUUGUAGUAAAUCUAAAAGUUUCUGGUCCAUCACUCAAAUUGAAGUCGUUAGCGAUGGUUAACUGUUACAAUUUGGAAUGUAUUGGAUUUCUUCAGUGAAUCUUGUGUCUUUUAAAUAUCAAGGGGGCUCAAGCACACGCAUUCUUUUGGAGAAUGUCCCCCAUCUCAUGGAUGUAUCUUAUGGGGGUCGCUAUUCGGAUUAUAUAAUAAAUGAUUUUCGUCAGUUCCCUAGUUAUAUGUUUCAGCUAGAGAAACUUGCAUUGAACUUGAGGGAUGAGGUACUUUAUAACUUUCCCAAGUUUCCCAAACUAAGAAAUCUCAGGCAAUUGGAAUUGACAGUGGAUGCAUAUGAUAAAUGGAGCCUCCUCCCCUGUGUUUUUCUGCUAAACGCAUGUCCUUUUCUAUAUAGAUUUUCGCUUGCAUUUAUUCAGUGCAGUGGAACUUCUAUAGGAAGAAAAACGGUAGGGAAUUCUAAAAAACAUACGCUCAAAUGCAUCAAAGUAGUGGAAUUGGUUGCAUUUGCUGGGCGUAAACCUGAUGUUGAGUUUGCUGUGUAUAUACUUGAGAAGGCCGUGUCACUUGAGAAGAUGAUUAUUGAUACACGCUACCUGUAUUCAGUCGGAACUCCAUCCGAGAAUGUGGAAGAUGAGGAGAGACUAGCAGCAAAAAAGUGUGCUGAGCAACUCCGUACAAAACGACGUCCGGGAGUUGAUUUUGUGAUACUUUAAGUUAUCAAGAACUACACGAUGAUUGUUGUAUUAGUUCAAACAGGAAAAGAGCUUCCAUGACACUUGUUACUAUUUUUCUUGUAAAUACUUAUGAACUAGUACAUUCUAAUGGAAGUCUCUCUCUAUUGAAAAGGGCAACAGAAUUGUGUUUCAAGCAUUUAUUUUGUGAUUAUGGUGAUAAAUUACUGAUUGGUGAUUUUAAUUUACUACUGAUAAAGUUUGAUUUUUUCGAUUUGAGUAGAUAUUGAUAAAUGGGGAGGAUGACUCCCAGCAAGAGAGAUUUUGGUAACUGAUUAGGGUUGAGAGGGGGUUGAGAGUGAGUUUGGUGCUUCAAAGUUGAGGGAAUCAGUUUUGAGGAAUUAAAUUCUUGAUCACUGACUACUCACUAGGUUAUCCAUAUUGAUCACUGAUGUGUCUAAUCACAUGCACAAAUAAUUCCUAAAUUUUGUUUAUUUGAUUUUAGAUUCAGAACACAGCUGUCAUCAUUUUUUUUUUUUUUUUUU